ACAGAAUAGAGAAGAGGAGCAAAUGCAAAGAUGAUUCCUUUGACAAGAUGAAAAACGGUACUCUAAUACACCUGCUUUAUAGCCUAGCUGCUGUUUAGAGUGAAAUUCUUCCACCUUCAAGCAAGAAUCAGAGGUUCUUUCAGGCUUCACACAAUAAUAUGAUGAAGAGGCACGCUGAAGGUGAAUAAACACUAAUUUGUUUGCGUGUGAAUAAGGCAUCAUUUAUGUAGCAACUUCUACAGAUUGGGUACUGGAGAUUUUUCCAAAACGAAUAAUGCUCCUGCUUUUGAGCUUACAAUGUAGUAGGAAAGAUAAACAGAGUGUGAUAAGUGACAUCAUAAAGGCACAAACAAAUUCCUGUGAGCACAAAGUGGAAAGCCCCUGAGCUGGAAAAUAGCACUGAGGUGGUUUCAUGAAAGAGGAAGCAGCAAGGCUGGGCCUUGAAGAACGUGAAGGAGUCACCCAGCUAGAGAGGGCAGGAGGGUGUUCCACGAAGUACAAACAUCAUGAACAGAAAGUCAAAGAGUGAAAGUGAAGGGAGGAUUGGGGAGCAGUGAACAGACAAUGUGAGAGAGCUGCGGCACCAUGGAGAAGAGUAAUGAGAGGGACAUCCUGAAGGAAAGACAAUAUGAAGGACUGUCGAUGCCAAAGAAAGGACUUUCAGCCAUAUGCACGCAAUGGGGAGCAAUGCAAGAUUGUCAACCAAGAGACUGAGGUGACCAGAUCUGCUUCACAGCAGCAGCAGCAGCAGUGUACAUGGAAGAUUAGAGGACCGAGAGAGAUGCAUGUCAGGAAAAUCAGCUAACAGACUCUAAAAUAACUAAGACUUGAGAAAGAUCUGGAUCAAAGCUUUAACAGCAGCAAUAAAGAAAAAAGAAGAGACAUUUCUGUAAUCAGAUCUAGAAAAGUUGAUGACCCCCAGGAUAACAGCCAUGAAAGUGCUGCUACCACAAACAUGAGGAAACUUCUGUUAGGAGUUCAACCUUCAGAGAGGACAGCUGGCAGUGCAAGAUGGUGACAGCCCUGCAAUCAGGAGAAGAAAGUCAUGAGACCUGUUUCUCCAGGUUUCCCGCCUCCUUCCACCUUCUGUACAGGACACACCAGUUCCCUCAAGCCCAAAAUGUGAGCAGCUGUCAUUCUCUGCAUAGCCAAGCUCGGCAGUCUGCCGAAAGGGACAAGCCAGUCCCGCAAAGGAAUGAUGUAUGCCAAAAGAUACUGCAUUAGG
RNAcentral lists this long non-coding RNA (1225 nucleotides) under Homo sapiens (human). Its description in RNAcentral is "HSALNT0332724". The record is from RNAcentral. Lineage: Eukaryota; Metazoa; Chordata; Mammalia; Primates; Hominidae.